This 1105-nucleotide ribosomal RNA is filed under the name Aliarcobacter butzleri. Its description in RNAcentral is "bacterial SSU rRNA". It matches the Rfam family "Bacterial small subunit ribosomal RNA", at positions 266 to 1386 of the family's 1533-position model. Lineage: Bacteria; Pseudomonadati; Campylobacterota; Epsilonproteobacteria; Campylobacterales; Arcobacteraceae. The record is from RNAcentral.
UACCAAGACGAUGACGCAUAACUGGUUUGAGAGGAUGAUCAGUCACACUGGAACUGAGACACGGUCCAGACUCCUACGGGAGGCAGCAGUGGGGAAUAUUGCACAAUGGACGAAAGUCUGAUGCAGCAACGCCGCGUGGAGGAUGACACAUUUCGGUGCGUAAACUCCUUUUAUAUAAGAAGAUAAUGACGGUAUUAUAUGAAUAAGCACCGGCUAACUCCGUGCCAGCAGCCGCGGUAAUACGGAGGGUGCAAGCGUUACUCGGAAUCACUGGGCGUAAAGAGCGUGUAGGCGGAUUGAUAAGUUUGAAGUGAAAUCCUAUAGCUUAACUAUAGAACUGCUUUGAAAACUGUUAAUCUAGAAUGUGGGAGAGGUAGAUGGAAUUUCUGGUGUAGGGGUAAAAUCCGUAGAGAUCAGAAGGAAUACCGAUUGCGAAGGCGAUCUACUGGAACAAUAUUGACGCUGAGACGCGAAAGCGUGGGGAGCAAACAGGAUUAGAUACCCUGGUAGUCCACGCCCUAAACGAUGUACACUAGUUGUUGUGAGGCUCGACCUUGCAGUAAUGCAGUUAACACAUUAAGUGUACCGCCUGGGGAGUACGGUCGCAAGAUUAAAACUCAAAGGAAUAGACGGGGACCCGCACAAGCGGUGGAGCAUGUGGUUUAAUUCGACGAUACACGAAGAACCUUACCUGGACUUGACAUAGUAAGAAUGAUUUAGAGAUAGAUUAGUGUCUGCUUGCAGAAACUUGCAUACAGGUGCUGCACGGCUGUCGUCAGCUCGUGUCGUGAGAUGUUGGGUUAAGUCCCGCAACGAGCGCAACCCUCGUCCUUAGUUGCUAACAGUUCGGCUGAGAACUCUAAGGAGACUGCCUACGCAAGUAGGAGGAAGGUGAGGAUGACGUCAAGUCAUCAUGGCCCUUACGUCCAGGGCUACACACGUGCUACAAUGGGGUAUACAAAGAGCAGCAAUACGGUGACGUGGAGCAAAUCUCAAAAAUGCCUCCCAGUUCGGAUUGUAGUCUGCAACUCGACUACAUGAAGUUGGAAUCGCUAGUAAUCGUAGAUCAGCUAUGCUACGGUGAAUACGUUCCCGGGUCUUGUAC